Molecule: long non-coding RNA, 1030 nt
Organism: Malus domestica (apple)
Lineage: Eukaryota; Viridiplantae; Streptophyta; Magnoliopsida; Rosales; Rosaceae
Source: RefSeq, a predicted model, not a curated record
CACACACAUCACAUCAUUUUUUCUUUCCUUCUCUUAGGCUAGUUCCCUCACAUGGGUUUCUUUCUCCCUCUCUCACACACAUGCCUCAUUUCUCUCACUUCCUUUCUUUUCUUGUUUUUUUUUCUAAUCGGUGCUUCUUCACCCCCAUUAUUUUCCGUCUCCCUCACGUCUCUCUCUAUACCCACCCACUCAACCUUCCUUCAUCCCUCUCUCUCUUUCCUAUUCUUUCUCUUUUUCCUCGACUUCUCCAUUUCCCAUCCCUUCAUCUUCUUCUCUUCUGAAAAUCUACCAAUCAAAACACUGCAAACAUCUCCCUUUAGUCUACAAAUCAAAACCAGCCAGGUUUUAUCCCUUCCUUUAUCUCUCAACUGCACAUCUCCCUCUAUCCCACUAACGCACUUCUCCGUUUCCACGCGCAGAGCUUCUAGAUCUGCUAAGGACACCAAGCCAAGCUUAGUUCUGCAUAAUGGGUUCCACCACUGUUCAUUACGUACCCCAACUAGUUCUCGAGCUCUCGACUUAGAUUAACAAUUCGUUUUCCCUCCUAAACGAAUUGUUUUCAUUUCCCCAAAAACUCAGAGGGAAUGGAAGCCACGAAAGCCACCAAGGGCGCUGACGGAAGAAAAGGUGGAGAGAGGAAGAAGUCGGUGUCCAAGUCAGUUAAAGCCGGCCUCCAAUUCCCCGUCAGCCAUAUCACUCGUUUCCUCGAAAGGGGACGCUACGUCCAAUAUACCAAUACCAGCGCUCCCAUUUACCUCACCACCGAGGGGUGGAUGGAUAGAAAGCGAAGAGAAACAAGAUCGAGAUCGAGUUCAAAAAGUUCAAAAAAAUUGUGGAGGUGGAGUUUAAGGACGACACUAGGAGCAACAAAUGACAAUGAGGGGGAGUAGGAAUUCAGUUUUCCCUUUUGUGAUUCAAUUAUGUAUUCAAUUCAUGUUUUACUAAUGUGAACAAACAUUGGCAUCAUGUUUUCCUUAUGUAAACUUUAAUUCGAACUGACCAUUUGACUAUGGGCAUUGGCUUUGAGGUG